UGGGGAAUAUUGCACAAUGGGCGCAGCCUGAUGCAGCGACGCCGCGUGGGGGAUGACGGCCUUCGGGUUGUAAACUCCUUUCAACCAUGACGAAGCUUUCGGGUGACGGUAGUGGUAGAAGAAGCACGGGCUAACUACGUG
This 141-nucleotide ribosomal RNA is filed under the name uncultured bacterium. RNAcentral's name for it is "partial 16S rRNA". It matches the Rfam family "Bacterial small subunit ribosomal RNA", at positions 355 to 507 of the family's 1533-position model. The record is from RNAcentral.